AGGGCAGCCAAAGCCCCCCAGAGGAUUAUAGGACUAACAUGAGUGAUUACUGAUAACCAAAGGAUAGCAGGGAUAAUAGAAAUCCAGAUGACUGCAUACGACUUAUUUUCACAGCAUAUAGCACAUCUUCCAAGAUGGAGGGCCCCAGGUCCAGGUGUAGAGAGAGCAGGGAUCCGGCGUGGGAGAGGUACGGCUGCUCUUCCAUCGUGUCCUCCAGGCAAGAUUCCCGGAGCAAGCAGCGGUCCUCACUGGGGAGCCCAGGAGGGCUGUCCGGAGAUGGCUCGGUGAAGCGAGCUCGCGCUCAUCCCCGAGUCGUGUUCAGGCAGGAGUUCCGACGGCCCGAAGGCAAAAUGGCACACGUUCCACAGAGGCAGGAUUCCCAUCCUGAUUCCAGCGUCUAAAAUUGUCCUAAGCAGUUUCCAUCGAGAUGACUCGGAUGUGAAAGCACAGUCUGAAGCCAUCGGUCUCUGUCAGGUCUGUGCUUUAAACAACGCCGGGUAUGUGGUCCAGACAAUAUGGCAAAAGAGACUUUUCAGAAGCCUUUAGAUUACUUGAUGUUGUAAAUUACCUGAAUAAAAGUACUUACUAUCUGGAAAAGAACACAACAUAAUUAGCCACACAGGGGGCGUAACUCCAGUGUGCAUCAAGGACCAGUACAAGGUCACCAACUUAUUUGUAGGAAUGUGAUGAUAUAUUUAGUUACUAAUGGUAGUUUUGAGCCGGCGGCUGUCUUAGACACCAUGAAGCACCAGCGGGGGGUCCUAAGGGAUGACAGGCGCCCGUCGCCGCUACAUAGUGCAUGACACACGCCUCCAGCGGAGCCAGCACCAAAGAACAGCCCGUUCCGACUCUCUCCCACUUGGACAGGAAGGCGUUAGGAACGCCACAGCCUGCCUGGCAUGGGAAACGUGGGAAGGGCAGGAAACAGGAUGGCGCAACGUGCCGGGAUCAGCGAAGUCGCAUGCUAAAUCCAUCACCUGGAGGAACCUCACGCAAACAUGGAGUAUAUGUCAAAUUCAUACUCAGGUAGUGGUGGGCAGGAGUCGAUUACACAACCUGCCAGUGUGAGGCGACAUCUGAACUUAAUUAAAUAAAGUAAAAGUCUCUUUAUAAACACACACCCUACGUGUAAUGUUUUGUUUUCAUCUGGAGUGGGCGUGAAUUCCUUCUAGUCUUACAAACAGAGCAUUUUAUUCUGAAUGAUUACCCAUUAUAAACCGGCGAACAUAAACUGAUAUAAACCUACACAGCAUUAGUGGACACCUAGAGAAAAUACGUGAUUUGAAUCAUGCGUGUUUAAAAAUAACACAACUGAAAGCUACGGCAAAAUCACACAAAAUACUUUAAACCAAGCAACCAUCAAGGCUACAUGAACGAGCAACGAUUUUUUUCCCCAAUAAGUGUCGAUUCGCGAAAUACAGGUAUAACGAGUAUUACAUGGUUUCAUAUUAGCAGAGACGUGUCAUUACAGGAGCUCUACAACUGAUAUCAUCUGAAUGACAUGUUGCUGCAUCGCAACUUAAUGCCGUGCGCGUCUUCAUUGGCAAGUGGGCGGGGUGGGCACAAAAGCGGGGCUGCUCACAGUUAAUUGUCCCACGCUUGGGGGGGGGGGGUCAUCUUUUACAUAAGUCCAAGCACAGACUGUACGCUCUCAGCACGUUUUUUUCCCGGAUUAAAACGCGAAUUCUCACAAUGAACAGUGUUUGGGGUCUUAAGAGGAUCAUUGUUUGAAGUACACAUACUUUAGCCUGCAAGCGAGCGCUUUCUGAACAAUGAUCUUACUGUAGCUAUUGAAACUACACUGUCAAGCUCCGUUAAAGUGUAACGCGGCCGUCUGUAUAGUUCAGGCUGCCCCGCAAUUCAAAUGUGUUCUGGGAAAUUCCUUCAGUGAAUAUGCAUAAGGUCUCAAAAGUAUAUAAUACCGGCCAUGUACGCUGUUACUAUAAUGACAUUUAAGUCGUACGUAGAGGUCUCAGUAUUACUUAUUAUCAUACUGCUAUUGUAAUGCAUUAUUCAAUAAGUUGGUGCAAUAGAAUUUAAAACAGUCUAAUUAACAUUUCAGCUGCAACAUGUUCAUAUAUCGGUUUUGCACCUAUUUCCAACCAGCUAAAAUAUAGAUAACUAAGAUACGGUUAGGAAAUAGCUUAACGUCACAACGCAGGUCAUUGGUAAGAUGCAUUUACUGUAAUCGGAAAAGAAGUAAAACUAUCAUUAAUACGUUCGUGUUAGUUGUAACACGGACUAGGUAGUUCUACGAUCUAACGCCCAGCGACAUCAACUUCAUUUACCAGAAUCCAGAGCUGAUAAUAUGGUUGGUAUGAGUAAAAGAUGCUUAAAUGCACGCCCAUAAUGUCAACUCGUUAAAAUUUUAUUAUAAAUUUCCUCGAUGUCUUGUAACGUUGCUGCAGGUUAGAGUUCAACCGAAACAUGAACAUCUUAAUAAAUGAAAAAUCAUUAUCCUGUAUUUUCUCACAAUUAUUAAAGCCGUGCAUAUACCGAUAUAGUACGAUCUCUGUGAUAUUUUUAUUCCAAAUUAUUUUCAUUUCCAGGACAGUGUUGCAUUUUUUCAUACCUGGUAAAAAAUAAUAUAACACAAUCCUCAAUAUAAGAUCCCGAAAGAAUCACGGAUUACUGAUAGAUACGCCCCAAAACUGCCAGUUCAGGGGAAAAUAAUUCACCCCCUUCCGCAUCCUCCUCUCCCCUUCAUUCACUUACUGCAGGUAAGUUAGAUAUACGGACGGGGGA
Paramormyrops kingsleyae is the source of this 2745-nucleotide long non-coding RNA. RefSeq lists it as uncharacterized. NCBI's taxonomy places the organism in Eukaryota, Metazoa, Chordata, Actinopteri, Osteoglossiformes, Mormyridae. The record is from RefSeq and is a predicted model, not a curated record.